Callithrix jacchus (white-tufted-ear marmoset) is the source of this 2011-nucleotide non-coding RNA. NCBI's taxonomy places the organism in Eukaryota, Metazoa, Chordata, Mammalia, Primates, Cebidae. The record is from RefSeq and is a predicted model, not a curated record.
UUUUCUGAGACUCACUUCUACUCUUCUUAUACCAUAACUUCUCCUUUUACACGUACAGAUAAACCUUGAUAGAACACUUUCUUGAUUUUCUUUUUCCAUGACAAAUAAAUAGAUGAUAUUCUUUCAGUUACUUUUAUACAUGAAACAAAACUUCAGUGAACAUAGGGCAUCUGGCUUAAAAUUUGUUCCCCUGAUGCAUUUGUAGACAUUUUCCCCAUGCUCUAGCAUUGGUGUGGUGCAGAAGAGGUCCUACCUCAGUUUAAUUAUUCUCCCGUGUCGGGUUACACUUUUUCCCACUCCUAGGCUGGCUGUCUUUCACUUCUCAACACAGUAUAUCCGGGUUGUGUUUUACUCCUCAAAUGUAACCUCUUUCAAUCUUUAGAUUCAAUUCAAUUAUUUUUCUGUUAAUACUUCAUUUCAGUAUAUUUUCUGUUCUAGUUUUCAGAAUUAUUGAUCAAAUUUGGAUCUCUGUGUGCUGUCCUCUAACGUAAUACCUUCUCUGCUGCUGUUUCAUUUGCUUUCUUCUGCAACAUGGCAGAGUGUUUCAAGGUGGGUCACCAAACGUCUAACUAAAUCUUCUACAUUAAUAAGUUUUCUCUGUAUUGUUAUAAUAAGUUUUAAAUUGAUUUUGUAAAAUUUGUGGGUUUUUCAUGUUCAGCUGCAUUUCAUUUUUUUCCUGUUUGUCCAUUCUUUUUCCUCAUCUCUUUGAACAUACUGAUUUAACACUGAAAAGACACAUUGAUAGAAAAGAAUUUUUGAACUGAGUCCAAAGAUUCAAAGAGGUUACAUAUAAACUGUAAAACACCAACAUCUGGAUACGUACUGAUGAAAAAGGAAAGAAGACAAUUUCCUUAUUAUGUCUGUCUUUUGUCUUGGAGUUGUUACUUAAAUUUUGUUAAAAUAAAUUGUGUUCAAUUGCAUUAUUGUCCUCAUUUCUUUGCCUCUUCUUGCAUCUGUUCCCUUGCUAUGGCUUCAUCAUCAUAGAUGGCAUAAAUUCAUUUCAUCUUGUCUCUGGACUUGGCUAUGUGACUUGCUUUGGCUGAUGACAUAUGAGCAAAAGUCACAGUUUGUAUUCCAAGUGCAAGCCUUGAAGACCUCACAUGUACUUGCUUGCUUUCUUUUCUUUCUGCCAGAUCAUGGAAAUAAUAUAACAGUGGGUAGUCUGCUGGUCAGCAGAGCCACCCUAGGUAAUUAAUAGACAUGUGGUGACAAAAAGAGUUUCCAAGUAGAACCCAGCCUAUGUCAAUCAGAUCCUAGUAGAUUCACAGACACAUGAGCAGUAAGAAAACAUUACACUUAUUGGAGUAAUUUGUUGCAUAGCAAUAAGUAACCUAUAUAAUAUGUUUUAAAAUAUUUUCUCUGCGAUGAGGCUUCCUCUUUGAAGACCACAGAUGAAAGGAUUAGAUGCUUUCUCAGAAGCCCAGCAACCUGAUGGGAGUGUGGAGUAAGCCAGACCCAAAUCAGAACUUUAUCCUUACAUGGUUUAUUUUUCUUGUCUGGCAAACCUGCUCUGCAGAAUCUACUCAAGCUUCCUCAGUUUCUCAGAUAAUUCUUGGGCAACAAACGAAGAAGGGAGAAGACAUUUUAUUAGCUGGUGACUGGCUAGCUGAUUUAAUAACCUAGAAGAGAACGUUUAAAAAACACAAACUCUGAAGUUGUUCAUUUUCAAAAAAAAACUUUCCCAAUUGAUUUACCAUUGCCUUACCUUCUUCAGUCAUCUUUGAAGUUGUUACCCUUAUGGUAAGAAGUAUGUAUUCAUAAGGAACCAUAAUGUCCUUCAGGAAAUACAGUACACCCUACAAUUUUAUAUAAAACUUUGCUGUAAUUUUUUUCUGUCCAUUUUACUCUCUGGAGAAAUGGAUCUCAUGCUCUUUGUCAAUUUCUGAAAGUUUUUAUUAAUCUCCCCUCAUCCCCAAAUUGAAGAACCUUGCAUAAAUCAGAAUCAGAACUUUGGCUCCAAUAAUAAAGACUUAAUAUCUUUGUGUGCCAUUGCAUCUCACAUAACGAGAUA